This 207-nucleotide long non-coding RNA is filed under the name Prunus persica (peach). RNAcentral's name for it is "long non-coding RNA (PPER_LNC004397)". Lineage: Eukaryota; Viridiplantae; Streptophyta; Magnoliopsida; Rosales; Rosaceae. The record is from RNAcentral.
CAUCAUUUCCUUAGCCGUUUGAAUUUUCCUUUACUUCUUUUAUGCUUAUUAAAUUUUCAAAUUUAGUCAGCCGAGGUCCAUACCACUGGGCACCUAGAGGAGGUAUCCACGGAGUCAUACGAGACUAUUCCCAUGCCCGAGGAUCACGCCCUGGAGCCUGUGGCCCAGCUAACUGAGGAAGACUUCCCCCACGUUCCGAAUUCUCAG